AUUGAACGCUGGCGGCGUGCCUAACACAUGCAAGUCGAGCGGUAACAGGUGUAGCAAUACAUGCUGACGAGCGGCGGACGGGUGAGUAACGCUUGGGAAUCUGCCUAUUAGUGGGGGACAACCCGGGGAAACUCGGGCUAAUACCGCAUACGCUCUACGGAGGAAAGCCGGGGACCGCAAGGCCUGGCGCUAAUAGAUGAGCCCAAGUCGGAUUAGCUAGUUGGUAGGGUAAUGGCCUACCAAGGCGACGAUCCGUAACUGGUCUGAGAGGACGACCAGUCACACCGGAACUGAGACACGGUCCGGACUCCUACGGGAGGCAGCAGUGGGGAAUAUUGGACAAUGGGCGAAAGCCUGAUCCAGCGACGCCGCGUGGGUGAUGAAGUAUCUUGGUACGUAAAACCCUUUCGGCAGGGACGAACCUAAUGACGGUACCUGCGGAGAAGCCCCGGCUAACUCCGUGCCAGCCGCCGCCGUAAU
Molecule: ribosomal RNA, 480 nt
Filed under: uncultured bacterium
Lineage: Bacteria
Description: bacterial SSU rRNA
Rfam family: Bacterial small subunit ribosomal RNA
Source: RNAcentral